AUACGGAGGAUGCGAGCGUUAUCCGGAUUUAUUGGGUUUAAAGGGUGCGUAGGCGGACGAUUAAGUCAGCGGUUAAAUCGUGGGGCUCAACCCCAUUCUGCCGUUGAUACUGGGUGGCUUGAUUGCGGUCGAGGUUGGCGGAAUUCGUUGUGUAGCGGUGAAAUGCAUAGAUAUGACGAAGAGCACCGAUUGCGUAGGCAGCUGACCAGACCGCAAAUGACGCUCAUGCACGAAAGUGCGGGGAUCGAACAGGAUUAGAUACCCUGGUAGUCCGCACAGUAAACGAUGAAUACUUGUUUUCGGCGAUAUAAUGUCGGAGGCAAAGCGAAAGCGAUAAGUAUUCCACCUGGGGAGUACGCCGGCAACGGUGAAACUCAAAUGAAUUGACGGGG
This 392-nucleotide ribosomal RNA is filed under the name uncultured bacterium. RNAcentral describes it as "partial 16S ribosomal RNA". It matches the Rfam family "Bacterial small subunit ribosomal RNA", at positions 523 to 918 of the family's 1533-position model. The record is from RNAcentral.